GGUGGUGUAUUGUUGGGGCUGGCACGGCCUACCUACCCCCAAGGCAAUGGGGAGCUGUCGAUGUGAUAACGUCGUCGUCGUAGUCGUGUGGGAGCGAUUGAGAGUAGCAAAAGUUGCUUCGGCUGUGAUGGUUCCCGUGUCAUUUCCCAACACACAUCGCGCGCUACUUCUUGCUGUGUGCGUGUGCCGUUUGCUUCUGUACUGCUGCCGAUAGUACUGAGUGUCCAACAUUGCUACUUCGCAAAAUAUUCUGAGAGCAGACAUCGAAAGCUUCUUUUGGGGAGGUGUAGAAAUAGAUUCUGUUAAAAAUUAAAUUUACUAACGUUUUAGUCGCUUAAUUUGCUUAACGAUUUAACAUGUUUUACUCACCAUUUAAUGUGAGUACUCAUCAAUAAUUAUACUCACUAGGACUCUUCAAAUAUUUUAAAACAUUAAAAUAUGUUUAAUAAAAAUACAAGUUAAUAUAUAGCUAUCAAACUAUUAAUCGAACUCACAUCAAUGAGUGUCUCGCAUUCAUCAAAAAGGUCGCUCAGUAAAAAACAACCCCCUUUUUCGCGAGUAUCGCCAUGAGUAACCAACCCCCCAGCGGGGCACUCAGAGGAGAAAUUCGUUUCGUUCGGGGUAGCGAAACGAAAAACACACAUUUCCACACGGGGAAAUGCGUGUGGUUGUGUGUGCGAUCGUGUCGACCGUGUCUGGGAUAGCCGAGUGAGAGAUCGCGUAAUAAAUUCAUAACUAUGCCUACAAUGUAACCAUUUGUUGACGAACGCAAAUGUACCACCCCAUCUCACGACACCUUUCGCUAAACUCACCCUUCCACCAGUCGCCCCCCUC
This is a long non-coding RNA of Anopheles funestus (African malaria mosquito), 834 nucleotides long. RefSeq lists it as uncharacterized. Lineage: Eukaryota; Metazoa; Arthropoda; Insecta; Diptera; Culicidae. The transcript has 2 exons. The record is from RefSeq and is a predicted model, not a curated record.